AAUGGAGUUGGAAUGGGAGGGAUGGGAGUUGGAGCAAUGGCAGGAGUUGGGGGAAUGGGAACAGUGGGAGGAGUUGGGGGAAUGGGAACAAUGGGAGGAGUUGGGGGAAUGGGAACAAUGGGAACAAUGGGAGGAGUUGGGGGAAUGGGAACAAUGGGAGGAGUUGGGGGAAUGGGAGCAAUGGGAGGAGUUGGAGUGGGAGGUGGACGGCUGGUGGACCCUCAUGGCGUGGUGGUGGUGGAGGGAUGUGGCGCUGAAGGAUGUGAGGACUGUGAACGGGAAAUGGACGAGAUCGAUUACGCUCUGCAGGAGGACAGAGAGGACUCACUCUGCUGAGACUUUGAAGACCAGAGGACUGAGACAAACAUCUGGUUAGCUUUGAUUUUAGUCAUCUGACUGAACCUACAAGAUUUGGACACACGCAUCUUCAUAAGUCUUUGUUGGUUUGUCAUAAAUAGGCAGCUCCAAGGGAUCAUUCCAGCGCAUUUCUAGACUCUUUUUAGGCCUGCAUGCAUGCUGUGGACCGUUCACAGAGCAGAUGUGUCGUCGAAUGUAUCUUUAUACAGGCCAUGACUGUAGCAAACCAAAGGUGUAGGGUUGUGGCAAAGCAAGACGGUGACCUGGGAUUGUGUCGUCAGUUACUGGAUCCAACACAGCAAUGGGAAAUUUAAAGUGUAGCACAGAGUUUGCACAAUAUAGAUGAGGUAUCAUCUGCAGACUACAGUAGACUCUUUACACAAGAAAGUUGACCAUGUCAUCAAGUGGUCAAGAUCGAGAAGUGGACUUCCUGUUACAUGCAAAGAUGUUCUUUCCCGUAUAUCAGUCACUUUAUGACUCAUUUCUGUGUAAAUUUAAAUACAGAACUGGUAAAUUCUUGUCUGCAGAGCAGAUCUCGGUGAUGCAUAUGCGCUCCUGUCAUGCGUGGUAAAGCCACUUUCAUUGAUUACAAAGGAUGGUAUUGGAUGGCGCCACAUCUUGUGGACAUUUAGUACAACCACAGGUUACACAAUGACAGUUUAAUAAUGUAUUAUCCCAUUUUUUGACCACUCUGUUGAUUUAUUACAGGGUCUCGCUGAACAAGUUAGCACAGCAGCACUGUUGCCCCAUUGCCUCCAUGUUUCUGACAACCUGAAGAAUGUAUAUCCAAGAACCAAACCUUUCUACUGAGUGUUGGUGUGUAGGGAGUCUUUCUGCACCAGAAGAUGAAGUCAACGAGGCUAAAAGCUUCACAGAGCUGAAGAACUGGCAUGUUUCUAUAACCUCUCCUAUGCUGCUGGUACUCUUACUGACUUCUUACUGACAUUUAAAAGCUCCACCACAUCGUUCAUAGUCGUCCAAUAUUUCUGACCAAAUACCUGACAUGGAUGCCUGGGGCAUGACAGACGACACAUUUGGGAACGAAAGAAGAAGCAGGGAUCAAAGAUUACAUCAACAGAGAGAUUUGGAGGUUAAGACAGAUGCUUUCAAAUGCUGGACAGAAGAUUAUGUCAAUAAUCUCCCCUGUCAGGGGAAUAAGAGAGAGAGCCUGACAUAAUAUAGGCAGUGAAGCAGAGAUAAAGCAGACCUCCGGGUCACUGAACACUAUGUGAAAAGUAAUUAAAAAUGUAAAUUAAAUCGGAAUUAUACAACCGUUACACAACUGUCAACAUAUGCAAAGUGAUGGAUUUGAUUAGUUUAUUACUCAUAAGCUGAGCAGUGUCUGUCGCUGUGCUUUUAACUGAAGCCACCACAUGUAUGUGUUUUCACUUUACAUCUAAUUUUUAAAUAUUUUAAGGAUGCUAGAUGUUCUAAUUUGCCAAAAAAUAGCAGUUUCUACUCACUCCAUUGAAAAACUACAAAGUGAGUGUCCAUGAUUUUGCAGUCCAGUGAUUUUCUAAAGAGAUAAAUACUUUUUUUGGAAGGAACCCUCCAAAAUAAAUGUCCUUUUUGGUGAAUUAA
Amphiprion ocellaris (clown anemonefish) is the source of this 1938-nucleotide long non-coding RNA. Lineage: Eukaryota; Metazoa; Chordata; Actinopteri; Pomacentridae. The record is from Ensembl.